Molecule: regulatory RNA element, 102 nt
Organism: Bacillus anthracis str. 'Ames Ancestor'
Lineage: Bacteria; Bacillati; Bacillota; Bacilli; Caryophanales; Bacillaceae
Rfam family: Purine riboswitch aptamer
About the family: Riboswitches are metabolite binding domains within certain messenger RNAs that serve as precision sensors for their corresponding targets.
Source: Rfam
AAAGAAUAAUAUAUAAGACCUCAUAUAAUCGCGGGGAUAUGGCCUGCAAGUCUCUACCUAACGACCGUUAUUCGUUAGACUAUGAGGGAAAGUCACUCGGUA